UAGCAAACUAGUGGAAACAUCACAGGAGACAGGGAACAUUGAAAACACAGAGUUGCAUACAUAAAACCUCCAAGUAUAUCUGGAAUCUACUGUUUCAUAAAAUGCAAUAAACAUCUUUUAGCUCUCAUUAAUAAGAAAUUUAUUUUGUUUACAGAACCCACAUGCAGACAUAGUAAAGAAAAAAACAAAUUUCUUUAUAGUCUUAUAGAGCUGAACUGAAACUCGCUCACAGACACAUUUCCCCUUGACACUAGUGCCUUGGGAGCCUCAAGGUAGAUGAGACCUUUCCUAACAGAAGCACACACAGACACAACCGCCACCUGAUUUCUGCCUACGUUUCCACUGGCAAUCCUAUGCUUAGCUACCUUUGGACCCCAGGAGGGAAAAGAAACCAAAACGGAACAAAACUUCUCACAUCAGAACUACCAGUUACGAGGGGGAAGAGAAAAAAGGAAACACAACCAAACAGAAAAGAAGUCCUCUAGAGUGCAACGUUUCCCAGGAGCGUGGGCUCUUACGCACCCUCUCCGCGGAUGCGGCGGGCCAGUUGCAUGUCUCCGGGCAUAAUUGUGACGCGCCUGGCAUGGAUGGCACACAGGUUGGUGUCUUCAAAGAGGUUCACCAGGUAGGCCUUGCUGGCUUCCUGCAGGGCCCCAAUGGCCGCACUCUGGAAGCACAGGUCCAGGCUGAUGACCUGAGCGAUCUCGUGCACCAGGCGCUGGAAAGGCAGCUUGUGCAGGAGCAGCUGCGUGGACUUCUGGUACUUUCUGAUUUCCUGCAGCGCCAGGGUGCCAGGCUUGUAGCGAUCCUCAACCUCAUCAGCGGUGUGAAAACUCAAUCAAGUCCCCGGAUUCUGCACACACCCCAGGGAGGGAGGAACCUCUGCUGUGUGCAUCAUGGGAGGGAUGGUAGGUGCGAGUUAGAUAAAAUUCUGGGUUCCAAGGAGAUUCUGAAAGUUUACAUGGAAGUCAUUACAAUGAAAAAGACAUAUGAGUAAAGUUGCAUGUUACACGACAUUGGUGACUGCUGCAAAACACCAUUUGUGACUGCUGAUGAUCACACCAAGGGUACGAUCAUGAGGUGUCUCUCAGGUUCCCGGAGGAUGAGGUGAAACGGGGAGGGAAAGAUGGAAAACCUCUAACAGGGAUGCUCUUG
RNAcentral lists this long non-coding RNA (1155 nucleotides) under Rhinopithecus bieti (black snub-nosed monkey). RNAcentral's name for it is "lncRNA (ENSRBIG00000045435.1)". The record is from RNAcentral. Lineage: Eukaryota; Metazoa; Chordata; Mammalia; Primates; Cercopithecidae.